RNAcentral lists this ribosomal RNA (253 nucleotides) under uncultured bacterium. RNAcentral's name for it is "partial 16S ribosomal RNA". It matches the Rfam family "Bacterial small subunit ribosomal RNA", at positions 524 to 776 of the family's 1533-position model. The record is from RNAcentral.
UACGGAGGGGGCUAGCGUUGUUCGGAAUUACUGGGCGUAAAGCGCACGUAGGCGGACCAGCAAGUUAGGGGUGAAAUCCCGGGGCUCAACCCCGGAACUGCCUUUAAAACUGUUGGCCUGGAGGUCGAGAGAGGUGAGUGGAAUUCCGAGUGUAGAGGUGAAAUUCGUAGAUAUUCGGAAGAACACCAGUGGCGAAGGCGACUCACUGGACACGUAUUGACGCUGAGGUGCGAAAGCGUGGGGAGCAAACAGG